This 818-nucleotide ribosomal RNA is filed under the name marine metagenome. Its description in RNAcentral is "bacterial SSU rRNA". It matches the Rfam family "Bacterial small subunit ribosomal RNA", at positions 9 to 873 of the family's 1533-position model. The record is from RNAcentral.
AGAGUUUGAUCAUGGCUCAGAACGUACGCUGGCGGCACGCCUAACACAUGCAAGUCGAACGCAGUAGCAAUACUGAGUGGCAAACGGGUGAGUAUAAUGUGGGAAUCUGCCUUUUGGUUUGGAAUAACACGGGGAAACUUGUGCUAAUACCGAAUAAGCCCUUACGGGGAAAGUUUUAAUGCCGAAAGAUGAGCCCGCACUUGAUUAGCUAGUUGGUAAGGUAAAAGCUUACCAAGGCAACGAUCAAUAGCUGUUCUUAGAGGAAGACCAGCCACAUUGGGACUGAGACACGGCCCAGACUCCUACGGGAGGCAGCAGUGGGGAAUCUUGCACAAUGGGGGAAACCCUGAUGCAGCGAUGCCGCGUGAGUGAAGAAGGCCCUUGGGUUGUAAAACUCUUUCGUCGGGGAAGAAAAUGACUGUACCCGAAUAAGAAGGUCCGGCUAACUUCGUGCCAGCAGCCGCGGUAAUACGAAGGGACCUAGCGUAGUUCGGAAUUACUGGGCUUAAAGAGCUCGUAGGUGGUUAAAAAAGUUGAUGGUGAAAUCCCAAGGCUUAACCUUGGAACUGCCAUCAAAACUUUUUAGCUAGAGUGUGAUAGAGGUAAGUGGAAUUUCUAGUGUAGAGGUGAAAUUCGUAGAUAUUAGAAAGAACACCAAAUGCGAAGGCAACUUACUGGAUCACUACUGACACUGAGGAGCGAAAGCAUGGGUAGCGAAGAGGAUUAGAUACCCUCGUAGUCCAUGCCGUAAACGAUGUGUGCUAGACGUUGGAAAUAUAUUUUUCAGUGUCGCAGCGAAAGCAUUAAGCACACCGCCU